This 3423-nucleotide long non-coding RNA is filed under the name Oncorhynchus kisutch (coho salmon). RNAcentral's name for it is "lncRNA (ENSOKIG00005006139.1)". The record is from RNAcentral. Lineage: Eukaryota; Metazoa; Chordata; Actinopteri; Salmoniformes; Salmonidae.
AUGCACCCAGGGGGAGACCCCAGGAUCCCGUUUGGGAAACCCUGUGUUAGACAACCAACCAUUUGUAUGUUAGAUCAAUAUUUUACCUGUUCUACCAUCCUGCAACACCCUGUUACUGUCAAACUUCCUGCCACUCAUUGCUUUUUACCCCUUCUCCCCCUCACUCACUCACUCACUCACACACACACACACACACACACACACACACACACACACACACACACACACACACACACACACACACACACACACACACACACACACACACACACACACACACACACACACACACACGCAGACACACACACACACACACAGACACAUACACACACACAGACACAUACACAUACACACACACACACACACACAGACACACACACACACACAGACAUACACACACACACAGACACACACACACACAGACACACACACACACACACAGACACACACACACACACACACACGCAGACACACACACACACACACACAGACACAUACACACACACAGACACAUACACAUACACACACACACACACACACACACAGACACACACACACACACAGACACACACAGACACACACAGACACACACACACACAGACACACACACACACAGACACACACACACACAGCCACACACAGACACACACACACAGACACACACACACAGACACACACACACACACAGACACACACACACAGACACACACACACGCAGACACACACAGACACAGACACACACACACACACAGACACAUACACACACACAGACACAUUCACACACACACAGACACACACACACAGAAACACACACACACAUCAACAACACACACAGACACACACACACAGACACACACACACACACAGACACACACACACACACAGACACACACACACAGACACACACACACACACAUUCACACACACACAGACACACACACACAGACACACACACACACACACACACACAGACAGACACACACACACAGACACACACACACACACAGACACACACACACAAACCACAGACCUAUUCGCCCUUUUAGCCCUUUCAGCCCCUAUCCCUCCAGACCUCCUAUCCCUCCAGACCCCCUAUCCCUCCAGACCCACUAUCCCUCCAGACCUCCUAUCCCUCCAGACCCCCUAUCCCUCCAGACCCACUAUCCCUCCAGACCCACUAUCCCUCCAGACCUCCUAUCCCUCCAGACCUCAUAUCCCUCCAGACCCCCUAUCCCUCCAGACCUCUUAUCCCUCCAGACCUCCUAUCCCUCCAGACCUCCUAUCCCUCCAGACCCACUAUCCCUCCAGACCUCCUAUCCCUCCAGACCCCCUAUCCCUCCAGACCUCUUAUCCCUCGAGACCCCCUAUCCCUCCAGACCCACUAUCCCUCCAGACCCCCUAUCCCUCCAGACCCCCUAUCCCUCCAGACCCCCUAUCCCUCCAGACCCCCUUUCCCUCCAGACCCCCUUUCCCUCCAGACCCCCUAUCCCUCCAGACCUCCUAUCCUCCAGACCUCCUAUCCCUCAAGACCCCCAAACCCUCCAGACCCUCCUAUCCUUCCAGACCUCCUAUCCCUCCAGAACUCCUAUCCCUCCAGACCUCCUAUCCCUCCUAUCCCUCCAGACCCCCUAUCCCUCCAGACCUCCUAUCCUCCAGACAUCCUAUCCCUCAAGACCCCCUAUCCCUCCAGACCUCCUAUCCCUCCAGACCUCCUAUCCCUCAAGACCCCCUAUCCCGCCAGACCUCCUAUCCCUCCAGACCUCUUAUCCCUCCUAUCGCUCCAGACCCAACUAUCCCUCCAGACCUCCAGACCCCCUAUCCCUCCAGACCCUCCUAUCCCUCCAAACCUCCUAUCCUUCCAGACCUCCUUUCCCUCCUAUCCCUCCAGACCCCCUAUCCCUCCAGACCCACUAUCCCUCCAGACCCCCUAUCCCUCCAGACCCCCUAUCCCUCCAGACCCCUAUCCCUCCAGACCUCCUAGCCCUCCAGACCUCCUAUCCCUCCAGACCUCCUAUCCCUUCAGACCCCCUUUCCCUCCAGACCCGCUAUCCCUCCAGACCUCCUAUCCUCCAGACCUCCUAUCCCUCAAGACCCCCAAACCCUCCAGACCUCCUAUCCUUCCAGACCUCCUAUCCCUCCAGAACUCCUAUCCCUCCAGACCUCCUAUCCCUCCUAUCCCUCCAGACCCCCUAUCCCUCCAGACCUCCUACCCUCAAGACCCCCUAUCCCUCCAGACCUCCUAUCCCUCCAGACCUCCUAUCCCUCAAGACCCCCUAUCCCGCCAGACCUCCUAUCCCUCCAGACCUCUUAUCCCUCCUAUCCCUCCAGACCCCCUAUCCCUCCAGACCUCCUAUCCUCCAGACAUCCUAUCCCUCAAGACCCCCUAUCCCUCCAGACCUCCUAUCCCUCCAGACCUCCUAUCCCUCAAGACCCCCUAUCCCGCCAGACCUCCUAUCCCUCCAGACCUCUUAUCCCUCCUAUCGCUCCAGACCCAACUAUCCCUCCAGACCUCCAGACCCCCUAUCCCUCCAGACCUCCUAUCCCUCCAAACCUCCUAUCCUUCCAGACCUCCUUUCCCUCCUAUCCCUCCAGACCCCCUAUCCCUCCAGACCCACUAUCCCUCCAGACCCCCUAUCCCUCCAGACCCCCUAUCCCUCCAGACCCCCUAUCCCUCCAGACCUCUUAGCCCUCCAGACCUCCUAUCCCUCCAGACCUCCUAUCCCUUCAGACCCCCUUUCCCUCCAGACCCGCUAUCCCUCCAGACCUCCUAUCCUCCAGACCUCCUAUCCCUCAAGACCCCCAAACCCUCCAGACCUCCUAUCCUUCCAGACCUCCUAUCCCUCCAGAACUCCUAUCCCUCCAGACCUCCUAUCCCUCCUAUCCCUCCAGACCCCCUAUCCCUCCAGACCUCCUACCCUCAAGACCCCCUAUCCCUCCAGACCUCCUAUCCCUCCAGACCUCCUAUCCCUCAAGACCCCCUAUCCCGCCAGACCUCCUAUCCCUCCAGACCUCUUAUCCCUCCUAUCGCUCCAGACCCAACUAUCCCUCCAGACCUCCAGACCCCCUAUCCCUCCAGACCUCCUAUCCCUCCAAACCUCCUAUCCUUCCAGACCUCCUUUCCCUCCUUUCCCUCCAGACCCCCUAUCCCUCCAGAUCUCCUAUCCCUCCAGACCCCCUAUCCCUCCAGACCUCCUAUCCCUCCAGACCUCCUAUCCCUCCAGACCUCCUAUCCCUCUAUCCCUCCAGACCUCCUAUCCCCCUAACCCUCCAGACACACUAUCCCUCCAGACCUCCUAUCCCUCUAUCCCUCCAGACCCCCUAUCCCUCCAGACCCCCUAUCCCUCCAGACCUCCUAUCCCUCCAGACCUCCUAUCCCUCUAUCUCUCCAGACACGCUAUCCCUCCAGACCUCCUAACCACAUAG